GAGCCCGUAGCUCAAUGGUUAGAGCGUUGGAUUUCUGAUCAACGGGUCACGGGUUCA
Molecule: transfer RNA, 57 nt
Filed under: Schistocephalus solidus
Lineage: Eukaryota; Metazoa; Platyhelminthes; Cestoda; Diphyllobothriidea; Diphyllobothriidae
Rfam family: tRNA
About the family: Transfer RNA (tRNA) molecules are approximately 80 nucleotides in length. Their secondary structure includes four short double-helical elements and three loops (D, anti-codon, and T loops). Further hydrogen bonds mediate the characteristic L-shaped molecular structure. tRNAs have two regions of fundamental functional importance: the anti-codon, which is responsible for specific mRNA codon recognition, and the 3' end, to which the tRNAs corresponding amino acid is attached (by aminoacyl-tRNA synthetases). tRNAs cope with the degeneracy of the genetic code in two manners: having more than one tRNA (with a specific anti-codon) for a particular amino acid; and 'wobble' base-pairing, i.e. permitting non-standard base-pairing at the 3rd anti-codon position.
Source: Rfam by way of RNAcentral